RNAcentral lists this ribosomal RNA (510 nucleotides) under uncultured bacterium. RNAcentral's name for it is "partial 16S ribosomal RNA". It matches the Rfam family "Bacterial small subunit ribosomal RNA", at positions 28 to 507 of the family's 1533-position model. The record is from RNAcentral.
GACGAACGCUGGCGGCGUGCUUAACACAUGCAAGUCGAACGAAGAGCGACGGAAGCUUGCUUCUAUCAAUCUUAGUGGCGAACGGGUGAGUAACGCGUAAUCAACCUGCCCUUCAGAGGGGGACAACAGUUGGAAACGACUGCUAAUACCGCAUACGAUCUAACCUCGGCAUCGAGGAUAGAUGAAAGGUGGCCUCUACAUGUAAGCUAUCACUGAAGGAGGGGAUUGCGUCUGAUUAGCUAGUUGGAGGGGUAACGGCCCACCAAGGCGAUGAUCAGUAGCCGGACUGAGAGGAUGAACGGCCACAUUGGGACUGAGACACGGCCCAGACUCCUACGGGAGGCAGCAGUGGGGAAUCUUCCGCAAUGGACGAAAGUCUGACGGAGCAACGCCGCGUGAGUGAUGACGGCCUUCGGGUUGUAAAGCUCUGUUAAUCGGGACGAAAGGCCUUCUUGCGAAUAGUGAGAAGGAUUGACGGUACCGGAAUAGAAAGCCACGGCUAACUACGUG